This is a non-coding RNA of Lolium perenne, 1660 nucleotides long. Lineage: Eukaryota; Viridiplantae; Streptophyta; Magnoliopsida; Poales; Poaceae. The record is from RefSeq and is a predicted model, not a curated record.
GUGAAUGGUGGCGGUGCAGAGGGUGAGCGGCGGGCGAGAGGAGGCGCUGAGGAGGAAUAGGCCGGCGGCGCGGGCGGCGAAGGGAACGACGUGACGGUGGAGUUGGCGGCGCCGAUGGGGCAUGCCGCGUCAAGGACCCCGAGCAACUGCGGCAGCGGUGGAAGGCAGCGCGCCGAGCGACGAGCGACUGGACGAGGACGCAGGGAGUGUCCACCAGAGCGAGGGCAGGAGCCCAUCACGGAGGAUCAGGUCUUGGGGCAGCAGCGUCGGGUAAAGAAGAGGAAGAAACUGGGUGGCUCCACGGCCAUGGAGGCGAGGAUGUGGUUGAGUGGGAUCCUUGGGUUGCGGAGAUGGAGGAGGUGAGGCCGAGCUGGUCAUAUGCUGUUUCAGGUACGGGCUGAAUUGGUUCAGGUUUGGUUCUCCCUCCUCUCUCUGUAUUUUCCUCUCCGUCUCUCUACUCUCACUCUCCUCCCCCCCCCCCUCUUUCUCAUGGACGAGGGCGGGGGUGGCAGGGAAUGGAGGAGCAUAGGGUGCGAGCCGAGGGGAGUGCCCGUAGUAGCUAUCACCGUCCUCAGCUCCACACUACCCAGCUCGAUGCCGCCUUGAUGCCGCUGAACAGAGAAGGGGGUGUGAACCGAGGAGGCUGUCAGUAUAUUUUUUGACAACGUGACUGUCAGUAUAUAGUUGUUGUAUCUGCUUGAUUCUUGGCAUACCCCUACAUUCACCUAACUAAACGAUUCCUACUACAUAUGCAUUCUGUGUUGGUGAAUAAUAUUUAAUUCAAUAAACAGUAGUUGUGGAAAUAGUAUCAAGUGCCAUUAUUAGUCACAAAGUGGUGGGAGCUUAUCCUCUAAUUUUGUUUUUCCAAGUGAGAAUAAUCUAAAAAGGAACCAUAGCUGAUUGAUGUCUUUUUGAUGGCGUUCUCUACAGGUUGCUUGAGUUACUACUUCAUAAAUUGUUGCCAGCUUCCUUUCUGAUUUCCCCUUGGGGUGCAGAGAGAGCUUCCAGGCCGAGCCCCGCGGUCUGGUAGGUAGAAGGCAAAGCAAUAUCUCGUCUAUCUUUGUUUACCUUGGCACUGGGUUGACAUAUGUGUGGUUUCAGCUUAAAGCCAAUACAAUACAAGUGAGAUAGCUAACCGUACCAAUCAGUUGUGCGGACACGUGAAAUGUCUUAUGUUAUUGGUGGAUCUCCCAUGGGUUGGAUUUUUUGUGUGGCCUGAAGGAAAAGAAGAAUAGCUGUCACUUCAAGCUGCAAAGUCAAAUAUCACUCACUCAGCCACUCAGGUGACUCCCCGAGAUUCUUAGCUCUAUAAGCAUUAUUGCUCCUCAUGAUUGUUUGCAGUAUAUAUUAUACCAAUGUUAUUUUCUCCCUUUUUAGCUGAAUGAUCACUGACUGUUUGGACAGAAUAAUGGUCCAUGUGAGAGAAAUAACAUGUUGAUAUCAUCCUGAAAUAAUAUAAGCGGGAGGGGACGAGGUUGGUAGCCAUAAGUCAUUGGCUCGUAAUUUGCCUAUAUUUAUUAUACUAGCUCUAAAGUGUGAGAUGUCUCCUACUCUAUACAGUUAAUUUGUGGGCAUAUCAUUGCUACUGUCUCCUAAUUGGGUGAUGAGCAUAUGGUGUAGAUUUUUGUGAGCACAUGUUUGUGAUCAGACUACCAUGGUA